UUUAAAUCUGCGUAAGAUAUGAGAAGGGAAGAAACAGAUGAGCGUUUAAGAGAAUACUUUCUUUGUUCCCUGACGUAUGUCUCUUCGCAUGCUAGCAGUCUAAAUGUAUUAAUCUUGUGCUUUUUUGUCUCAUGGGGUUCAAAUAAGAAUUUUCUUAGAAAAUCUGAUCAGCUAGCUACGUGGCAGCAUUAACAAGUCCAAACUGUAGACCAUGCGAGACCCGUCUUUGUUGUGUACUUUAAUAUAUGUACACAAACAAGAGAUUGCACACAAAACAUACUUCUCCCGUUGAUCUUUCAUCUGUGUAACCAGUAAUCAUGGGAAACAGUAUCUUUGCAAAUUGCUGCAGGCAUGUCACUGAUCUCAUCUUCCAGACACACAGCUUUAAUUCGGCUGAGAGGGCCCCUCUCUUACCCAAAUCUCCCAUUAGUUGCACUGCAUCUCCUGAUGUCUCUCUCCCUGUUCAAAUGAAGUUAGAUGUCUCAGAAGCGUGCAAGUGCUUGCCACUGUAUCCGGACAUUAUUCUCAGCAAUGCGUCGAAUGAAAGUCUGCAAAAAUGGCCAGAAUAUGUUCAAGGCUUACCCAAGGAGAAGAGCAGUGGAGAAACGAUGAAGCCCUGUGAAAACAGCUGCUCGAAACUCCGUGUUGCUGUUGCUAGCUUAAUAAAGCAGACAGAGGCAUCUUCUGCUCUGGCUGUCCUUCCUGGCGACCUUGAGAAAGGAUCAGCUACACAGUUAAAUCAUUCUCAGUCACUUGAGGCCUGCCAGAAUUGCGGGAAACUUGAGGCCAAUGGCCUAGACUCUAAAUCGUUCAACCAGGAAGAGCCUGUGGUACCAGCUGACAAAAGAGCUGCAGCCCACAGAAUGCCUAUUGUUGAUUGGCAGCAAAACCGAGACAUCUCUGAGAGGGGAAAAGCCUCCAAUUCGGAACCAUCAUUAGCAGAUCCGGGUGUCCAGUUAAAACACAAAACUUAUGCUUCUAACUUGGGGAGCUGUGAAGCGGCUGAAACACCUGAAUCUAACCACUCUGUAAAGGCAGAGAAAAGCCAGAAUAUACAAGAGAUGGUCCUGUCUGUCAUUACAGAUGAGAAUACACAUGUGAUCCAGGAUAAAAGCACUUGUUACUUACUGACCAAUCCUGCAGUUGACCUUGAUCCUGAUCUUGAAGUGAGCAUACUGCCAUCAAAGCAGAAGAAAAGGAGGAGGAAAAGGAAACUUUGUUUUUUAGAACAUCCGUCUGGCAUGGCUUUAAUGAACGGUGACGGCUCUUACGAGCACCUCAAGGAGGAGACCAGGCAAAAUGGCCACGAGGAGGUUGACCCAGGGGAUGAUGCAAAUGACCAGGAAGUUAUCGUCAUACAGGACACCGGCUUCACCGUCAAGAUCUACGCUCCGGGGAUAGAACCUUUUUCCCUGCAGGUCUCUCCUCAAGAGAUGGUGCAGGAGAUCCACCAAGUGCUGAUGGACAGAGAGGACACCUGUCACCGAACCUGCUUCUCUCUGCAGCAGGAUGGGAAUGUCCUGGAUAACUUUGCAGAGCUGAAAACUAUUGAAGGGCUGCAGGAGGGGUCGGUGCUGAAAGUGGUUGAAGAGCCCUACACGGUACGGGAAGCCAGGAUACACGUGCGUCACAUUCGGGAUCUUCUGAAGAGCCUUGACCCGUCCGAUGCUUUCAAUGGCGUGGACUGCAAUUCACUCUCAUUCCUGAGCGUCUUCACGGAAGGAGACCUAGGAGACAGUGGGAAACGGAAGAAGAAAGGUACUGAAAUGGAACAAAUUGACUGCACCCCUCCUGAACAUAUCCUGCCAGGUGGCAAAGAAAGACCCCUCUGUGCCCUCCAGCCCCAGAACAGAGACUGGAAGCCUUUGCAGUGCCUAAAAGUCUUGACCAUGAGUGGCUGGAACCCCCCACCUGGCAACCGGAAAAUGCACGGAGACCUCAUGUAUCUGUACAUCAUCACUGUGGAGGAUCGACACGUUAGCAUCACUGCGUCCACCAGAGGAUUUUACCUGAAUCAGUCGACAGCAUACAAUUUUAAUCCUAAACCUGCCAAUCCGAGUUUUCUCAGUCAUUCCCUGGUGGAACUCCUUAACCAGAUCAGCCCGACCUUCAAAAGAAAUUUCUCAGCUCUGCAGAAGAAACGGGUUCAGAGGCAUCCCUUUGAAAGGAUAGCCACCCCCUUCCAGGUUUACAGUUGGACGGCACCACAGGCAGAGCACGCCAUGGACUGCGUGAGGGCAGAAGAUGCUUAUACGUCAAGGCUGGGCUAUGAAGAGCACAUACCUGGACAGACCAGAGACUGGAACGAGGAGUUGCAAACCACACGAGAGCUGCCCCGCAAGAAUCUGCCAGAGAGGCUGCUGAGAGAACGAGCCAUUUUCAAGGUCCACAGCGACUUCACGGCGGCUGCUACCAGAGGAGCCAUGGCUGUCAUCGAUGGCAACGUCAUGGCCAUCAAUCCCAGCGAGGAGACCAAGAUGCAGAUGUUCAUCUGGAACAACAUUUUCUUCAGCCUUGGCUUCGACGUCCGCGACCACUACAAGGACUUCGGGGGGGACGUCGCUGCCUACGUGGCGCCCACCAACGACCUCAAUGGGGUGCGGACGUAUAACGCAGUGGACGUUGAGGGGCUGUACACAUUGGGGACCGUGGUGGUGGAUUACCGGGGUUACCGGGUCACUGCACAGUCCAUCAUUCCAGGGAUCUUAGAACGAGAGCAGGAGCAGAGUGUCAUCUACGGGUCGAUAGACUUCGGCAAGACCAUUGUCUCUCACCCCAAGUACCUGGAGCUGCUGGAGAAGACCAGCCGGCCCCUCAAGAUCCAGAAACACAAAGUUCUGAAUGACAAGAACGAGGAGGUGGAGCUGUGCUCGUCUGUGGAGUGCAAAGGCAUCAUUGGCAAUGAUGGACGCCACUAUAUCCUUGACCUGCUCCGCACCUUCCCCCCCGACCUGAACUUUUUGCCGGUCGAAGGGGAGGAGAUGCCGGAAGAAUGUAAGAAAAUGGGAUUUCCCAAGCAGCACAGGCACAAGCUUUGCUGUCUCAGGCAGGAGCUGGUGGACGCCUUUGUAGAGCACAGAUAUCUCUUAUUCAUGAAACUGGCUGCUCUGCAGCUGAUGCAGCAGAAGGCCAGCAAGCAGGAGAACUUGGGCGUGCUGGAGAAUGGGGCCUCCGCAGAGAAUGGAACAGUGGGAAGCGAGAAAUCAGAAUCAGAUGAUGGUAAAAUAGAGGAGAACGUGGCUGGAUUAGAUCAGGUUAAAGAGCUGGCAGAGACCAUUGCAUCUGAUGAUGGAACAGUGGAUCCCAAAAGCAGAGAGGUGAUUCAAAAUGCCUGCAAAGCCGUGGGCUCCAUCAGCGACACGUCCUUUGACAUUCGGUUUAACCCGGAUAUCUUCUCACCAGGUGUUCGUUUCCCUGAGUCCAGCAAAGAGGAAAUGCAGGAUCAGAAGCAGUUAUUAAAGGAUGCUGCUGCUUUCUUACUGUCAUGCCAAAUCCCAGGCUUGGUGAAAGACUGCCUGGACCACACCAUGCUCCCGAUGGAUGGCGCUACGUUAGCAGAGGCCAUGCACCAGAGAGGCAUCAACAUGCGCUACCUAGGCAAAGUCGUUGACUUCAUCGCCAAGACCCCCACCCGCCCACAGCUGGAUCACAUCUAUAAAAUUGGAAUCAGCGAAUUGAUCACUCGGUCAGCCAAACACAUCUUCAAGACAUACCUUCAGGGCGUGGAGUUGUCUGGUUUAUCGGCAGCCAUCAGUCACUUCCUCAAUUGCUUCCUAAGCUCCUUCCUGAAUCCAGUUGCCCAUCUCCCUGCUGAUGAGCUGGUCUCCAAGAAGAAGAAUAAGAAAAGGAAAAACAGGAACCUUGGAAAUGCUGAUAACACUGCCUGGGCCAGCAUGACCCCUCAGGAGCUUUGGAAGAAUAUUUGUUCCGAGGCAAAGAACUACUUUGAUUUUCAUCUUGAAUGUGAGAAUAUUGACCAAGCAGCAGAGGUGUGUAACCUCCAGAAAAUCACCCUUCUACGUGAGAUCUCCCUCAAAACUGGAAUCCAGAUCCUGUUGAAAGAGUAUAACUUCGAUAACCGGCACAAACCCACCUUCACAGAGGAGGAUAUUCUCAACAUCUUCCCAGUCGUGAAGCAUGUAAACCCUAAAGCUUCAGAUGCUUUCCACUUCUUCCAGAGCGGGCAAGCAAAGGUCCAGCAAGGUUUCUUGAAGGAGGGCUGUGAGCUCAUCAACGAAGCCUUAAACUUGUUUAACAAUGUGUACGGUGCUAUGCACGUGGAAAUCUGUGCCUGCCUUCGGCUGCUGGCUCGCCUCAACUAUAUCAUGGGAGACUACUCAGAGGCCUUAAGUAAUCAACAGAAAGCGGUGCUAAUGAGUGAGAGGGUCCUGGGCAUUGAGCAUCCCAACACAAUCCAAGAAUACAUGCACCUGGCUUUGUAUUGCUUUGCCAACAGCCAACUCUCCACAGCAUUAAACUUAUUGUACCGCGCACGCUACCUCAUGCUGUUGGUAUUUGGAGAAGACCACCCAGAAAUGGCACUCUUAGAUAACAACAUUGGUUUGGUGCUUCACGGGGUUAUGGAAUACGACCUGUCCCUCCGAUUCCUGGAGAAUGCUCUGGCGAUCAACUCCAAGUAUCACGGCUCCAAGUCUCUGAAGGUGGCACUGAGCCAUCACUUGGUAGCCCGAGUGUACGAGAGUAAAGCAGAAUUCCGAUCGGCUCUACAGCAUGAAAAGGAAGGCUACACAAUCUACAAAAAUCAGCUUGGAGAACACCACGAAAAGACCAAAGAAAGCUCUGAGUACUUGAAAUACCUGACUCAGCAAGCAGUGGCUCUUCAACGCACAAUGAAUGAGAUCUACAAGAAUGGAUCCAAUGCUAACAUUAUGCCACUUAAGUUCACGGCUCCCAGUAUGGCCAGCGUGCUGGAGCAGCUUAACAUUAUCAAUGGAAUUCUCUUCAUUCCACUCAGCCAAAAGGACUUGGAGAACCUUAAAGCAGAGGUGCAGCGACGCCAGCAGCUCCAAGAGGCCGUGAAGAACAGCGAACAGCUGGAAGCAGAAGAUGCAGUCUCCGAGGAGAGAGAGGCUGAGCCAAGCAUCCCUUCUGCUGAGGUCCCCCCAGCACAGAGCUCUGCUUAAAGUGUACCUCGCUUAAAAAACCCACACAAAAUUUAAACCUUCCCCUUUUUCUGAAUCUGAACCAGGGUCUUGGACUCCCCUGGGGCAACUUCUCCUUUUUUUGACAAUGUUAUUGCACUGGUACAAUUAAUACACAAUGCAAAGAACUAAGUUGAGAACUAGAAUCUGACUGCGCUCGUGUCCACCACGCGAAGGGGGAAAGGUGGCCAGGAUGCAGCAGCAUACGAAAACAUCCUAGGAUGGCUGAGUCAGGAGACCUCAGCAGAACGAAUGUUCACAUCCUCCUGUAUCUAAGCUAGAAAUCUCUGUUCUGUCCCCGGCUCAAUCUACAGUCUUAGUACAGCCAGACAAGGAGUGUGUCAGUGAAACGAAAAAAAAAAAAUCUGACUCACUCUGUUGAAUUCUCAAAGGCAGCUAAAGAUCCAGAAGUUAGAGCAUGCUGCACAUUGCUGGACAAUAUGGACAACCCUUCCAAACUGGGCUGGCAAAUCAUCUUGUUCUAAUACCGUCCAGGCUGUACUUGUUUAUUCUGAGAACUAAAAAAUAAAAAUAAUGUCUUAUCAGUGUCAAAUUCACUCCCUUGUUACCUACCACUAGGACAUUAGACGGCAGGGGAUGGAGAGAGACUCCCCACUCAACAGAUAGGGGUGUUUUAGAGAAAUGGGGACACAAAUGUAGGGGUGGAUGGGACCUCAAGAGGUCAUCUAGCCCAUCCUGGACAGGUGUUUGUCUAACCCGUUCUUACACAAACACGUCAGAUUCCAGAUCUCCCUAGGUAACCUGUUCCCAUGCUUAACUAUCCUUAGAAUUAGGGAAAAUGUCCUGAUAUCUAACCUAAAUCAUUAGUCAGAUCGGCAAAAGAUUUCUAAAAAUAAAGUUGAGCUUUUAGUGGACCUUCUGUAUGAGCCUUUCCCACAAGGGCUAGAAACUAACAUCAAAGCUCAACAUUUUUCAUGCAAUACAUGAUUCCAGGAGCUGUGCCUUCAAGAAAAAACAGCAAAUGUCAUGAAAGCCUUUAGAGUGAUCGUUCACUGUAGUACAGUAUUCACUAAAAUGUAUUGCAUGGAUAGACGUUUCCAGUAGGUUGCCAAAGUCCAACUGUAUCUUCCCACUCCCUCUGCUGAACUGAAGCUUUUCCUUUCAUUAUAGCAUUUACUCUAAGUUCAGCAGUUGCUAUUAAGGUACAAAUACUGUGGCCUUCCAUAUGGCUCUCAUUUCAUUCUAGCACAAAGCCCAUUUCUUUACUUCUACAAACAUGGAUGCGGUUUGAUAGUCAACUAGAGCCAUUGAUAGGUCCUCUUCAUGCAGUCUCAAGAUAUUGAUCAUCUCCACUGCAAAUAACUUACAGUUGAUAAUGUACGGUAUCAAGCAAGGCCUAUUCCCAAUGCAGAAGACUGGAUUUGAUACAAAUAGCCUUUGCAGUUUGCCAGGUAGCAUAUAUCAAGCUGAAAAGGUUCAUAGUUGUUCUUCACUGAUUGGGUCUUACUCAUUUUGUGUACAUCAAACAACCAGUAUAGUUCUCCUGCUCUGCAAGACACCCUUCACAUUGGGUCCUCUCUACCAUAAUUGUUUCUCAGAGCUUUCUAAACCAGGUUGAGUGCUGCAUAUUAAGUAGUUUAUGCUCAAAAUUUUCUACUCUUGAAACCGACAACUGUGGAAGGGAACUGUCCUCUAGAUAAGGUAAGUCUUAGACAAAAAUAGACCUCAAACAAGCAAGCACUGCAGAGAGAUGCCACUGCAAAUCUCUGUACUAUUGCUACAAAGCUAUCAUGAAGGACCAUUCAAUAAACCUAAAUCCCCACGCUGGGCUGACACCUCAAAAAGACUGAAGACAUAUAAGGAAGUACUCCAUUAAAAGCAUUAUCUCAAUUGAUGCUUGUUUAAUAGGAAGGGACAAAAUUAGACAGUAAAGAAACUAAAAUAAUGGGAAAAAGAGUUAGACAGCUUCCUUUGAACUCUGCAGUGGUGUUGUAUUUGUGUCAGUCCCAGGAUAUUAAAGAGACAAAGGUGAGUGAAGUAACAUUUCACUGGACCAGCUUCUCUCUCAUCCACAAAAGUUGGUCCAGUGAAACAUUACCUCACACACCUUGUCUCCCUUGAACUAGUCAAGUCAAAUUUUCAGUUUGCAUCACUUGAAUCCAAGAUUGUCAUUUAUGUAAUUCAGUUACUCCUCUUAUUAUAUUAGAGCUAACUAAUCAACUUGAACUAUUUCCACACUUCCUGGUUGGAAUGGGUUUAGGAGUUAAAAGUGUGGAGUGAAAUCUGAAGGGUGAACCUACAGAAGCUUUUAAUCAAGUAGUUUUACUUCCUGCAUCCAAGGAAACAAAAACCACAUCUAGUUUUAUAUGCAUUUAAUAGUUUACCAAUUGGUACAAUAAGAUUUUUUUAAUAUGCAGAAAACAUGAAUAAAUUUUGUUUUACACAGUCUGAGAGCAACAAAUCUUACUGUAAAACACAGAGCAGUAUUAUAUACAUUCCUUUACUGAUUUUAUUAUUAUUGUGUCAUAUCUUCAGUUAACUCCUACAGUUUGGGAACAGUUUUCUCCAACUGCAAUCUCUACAUCUUUCUUAUGAAAAAAGUUGAUGUUUGCCUUCAUGUCAAUGUCAGGAUCAAAUUCUAAACUUGAAGAUUUCACUAACUUAUCUUCAGAAUGAACUGGGGGAAGCCUGAAGGAUAGGUAGGACAAGAAAGCAGCUACUUACAUGACACAGUGGAAAGAUAAAAAAGGCCAGUUAAGUCCAGUCGUGACUUGUAAAUCCAGCUCACUUCCCCCAUCCCCCAAGUGUUCUUCCCUACCAUUUUUUACAUGUAGUUUUUCUCCACUAAUGGAGAUUAUUCUUUGUAGUAACUAACACAUUGGACUUUAUGUACAGCUGGACAGAGAAUGAGCAGUCUAAGUGCCUUUUUCCUUCAUUCAAUUCAGCAAUUUUUAAUCUUCAAAUUGUUAAAGGAUUAUCAAGCCACCACGGUCAACAAAAAAAGUAUAUAUUUUUUCUUUUAAAUAGCUUUUAUGAGGAACAAAAGCUAUUUAAGAGUGAUAUUACCAGGCAGUUCACAAAAACGGGAGGAGGCAAACAAGAGAAGCAGGGUACUGAUAGUAUAAGUAGACUGGGCUUGGUGAGUCUAUAGCCAAAGCUUUCAAACCACUACAGUGCUCCACAGCCCUUGGAGAACUUGCUAGCAACUAGUUUUGCUUUGCUUUUUUCUUUUUAAUUAGUGCCCUGGGCACAUCAUUGGUCACACCAUACACAAAAGCAGGACGGCUUUUUAAUCUUCUAAAGUGCAAGAUGCUAUAAAACAUCAACUUUCAGGUUAUGUCUAAACCACAAUAAAUUUUGCACUUUCAAGAAUGCAUCUAGGAUUUCCUGGGCACAUUAAGUUAGUGUGGCACUGGAAUGUCUGUCUUCUCAUUCAUUUUAACAACAUUUAUAUUUGUCUAUUUGGGAAUGUAGCACUAUGUUUUCUUUUUAAAAUGCCAAUUUUAGUAAGGAAAGUGACAAAGCAGCAGUGAACCUCUAAACCCUCCAAUAAAUUCCUUUUACAAUCCAAA
Gopherus evgoodei (Goodes thornscrub tortoise) is the source of this 8695-nucleotide RNA transcript. It is a transcript of the gene named clustered mitochondria homolog, with no coding region annotated. NCBI's taxonomy places the organism in Eukaryota, Metazoa, Chordata, Testudines, Testudinidae. The record is from RefSeq and is a predicted model, not a curated record. The transcript is spliced from 27 exons.